Molecule: ribosomal RNA, 301 nt
Filed under: uncultured bacterium
Lineage: Bacteria
Description: partial 16S ribosomal RNA
Rfam family: Bacterial small subunit ribosomal RNA
Source: RNAcentral
CAGUCGCCGCGGUAAAACGUAGGUGGCAAGCGUUGUCCGGAAUUAUUGGGCGUAAAGGGCUCGCAGGCGGUUUCUUAAGUCUGAUGUGAAAGCCCCCGGCUCAACCGGGGAGGGUCAUUGGAAACUGGGAAACUUGAGUGCAGAAGAGGAGAGUGGAAUUCCACGUGUAGCGGUGAAAUACGUAGAGAUGUGGAGGAACACCAGUGGCGAAGGCGACUCUCUGGUCUGUAACUGACGCUGAGGAGCGAAAGCGUGGGGAGCGAACAGGAUUAGAUACCCCCGUAGUCCCUGUCUCUUAUAC